AAAAUGACUGUCAAACCCAAUUAUGCAGGUUUGUAAUGUAUUUUCAUGGUAGCCAGAUCGAUUCUAGUAAAUGCUAUUUUUUAAGUUUGCCGUUUGAUGAACGCUUAACGGUAGACGUUUGCAAUGAGGCAUCGAUCUAAUCCUUUAGUAAGACGUAUUUUGCUUUGCUUGAUACAAAGGCUUUGUAAAUCGUCAAGGGUCGAAGUAACUUAGCUUUUUAUACAUAUAAGUAGUUAUUUUGUUUGUUUCGAAUCACCUUUAGUUUUUUGUUAUUAUGUAUCACAAACGGACAAGGGAGGCGGUUUUGGAAGAGGGCUAGCAGCUGGGGGAGGGGGUUACAGCUAAUACCGAGUGGCUGUGGCAUUUUCAAGCAUUUCAGGUUCGAAGGCUAUGACGACAAAACUAUUAAAAUUCAGCUACAUGCUAAAGCAUAAUGGUCACGAUGGCGAAAUCUUCGGCGACCUAUGAUUUGUGCAUAAUUUGUGUAGCGAUUUUUAAAAUUGUUACUGCUCAAACAUACCAUAUCAGUUUUGCGGGACUUCAUUGCAAAAUGUGCCCACCGGGUACCCAUUGGGUAAGUGACUGCAACUCGGACGGGCAGCAAGAUAAAUGUGAACCCUGUCCUGAAGGAUCUUACACGUCCAACUAUAACAUUGCACAUUUGUGUGCGCCGUGUCGCACAGAAUGUACAGGACAACACCAUGAUCGAAACAUUGUACAAGUGUCCUGUACAAACAUAUCUGAUUUGAAAUGUGCGUGUAAGGAGGGCUAUUGGUUGAAACGGCAUCAUCAGAAAUCAACGUGCAGACAUGUGUCUUCCUGUCGUCCUGGUUCAGGCGUCCAACGUCAGGCGGACGACAAUAGCGACACAACAUGUGCCACUUGCCAAGCUGGUUUCACGUUCUCCAACAUCACGUCUACGACAGAGCUCUGCAGGGACUGUACCGUGUGCGGAGACGCAUAUGAAGUUGUCACCAAGUGUACCCCGUUCAAUGACACUGUCUGCCAAUUGAAAGAGCAACCGUACGAUAUAGUAGAACCGAUUGCAGGCCUAUCAAUUGAAACGGAAUUGAGUUCGUCCGCAAGGAUAACUUGGUCUAUAUCAAAGAUGACAAUGGUUGUUUGCUUUGCUUUAUUACAACUUCAAUCAUUCUAAUUGAAUCUAAAGGAAAGCUAUCAUGAUUCGUUAUCGCGCUUCACAUUUUUUGAGUGCAGAUUUCGAGGAUAUACAAUACUUUUAUGCUUUGUUACCUUGAGUUUAUAUUUUAUUUGACAUUAACUUUGUUUCUUUGCUCAAUAUCUGUCCCGACUUGAUUGCUCAUUUUUUAGCUCAUCUAUUUUUUGAAAAAAAAAUGUGAGCUAUUGUCAUCACCUUGGCGUCGGCGUUGGCGUCGGCGUCCGGUUAAGUUUUGCGUUUAGGUCCACUUUUCUCAGAAAGUAUCAAUGCUAUGGCAUUCAAACUUGGUACACUUACUUACUAUCAUGAGGGGACUGGGCAGGCAAAGUUAGAUAACUCUGGCGUGCAUUUUGACAGAAUUAUGUGCCCUUUUUAUACUUAGAAAAUUGAAAAUUUUGGUUAAGUUUUGUGUUUAGGUCCAUUUUAUUCCUUAAGUAUCAAAGCUAUUGCUUUCAUACUUGCAACACUUACUAACUAUCAUAAGGGGACUGUGCAGGCAAAGUUAUGUAACUCUGACUGGCAUUUUGACAGAAUUAUGUGCCCUUUUUAUACUAAGAAAAUUGAAAAUUUGGUUAAGUUUUGUGUUUAGGUCCACUUUUUUCCUACAGUAUCAAAGCUAUUGCUUUCAUACUUGCAACACUUAUUAACUAUCAUAAGGGGACUGUGCAGGCAAAGUUAUGUAACUCUGACUGGCAUUUGGACGGAAUUAUGGGCCCUUUAUACUUAGAAAAUUGAAAAUUUGGUUAAGUUUUGUGUGUUGGUCCACUUUUCCCCUAAAGUAUCAUAGAUAUUGCUUUCAUACUUGGAACACUCGCAAACUAUCAUAAGGAGACAGUAAAAGGACAAGUUGCAUAACUCUGGUUGUCAUUUUACGGAAUUAUGGCCCUUUUUUGACUUAGUAACUUUGAAUAUAUGGUUAAAUUUUGUGUUUCGAUCCACUUUACUUCUAAAGUAUCAAGGCUAUUGCUUUCAAACUUCAAAUACUUUCAUGCUAUCAAGAGGUUACUGUACCUGGCAAGUUGAAUUUUACCUUGACCUUUAGAUGACCUUGACU
Long non-coding RNA from Dreissena polymorpha, 2231 nucleotides. RefSeq lists it as uncharacterized. Lineage: Eukaryota; Metazoa; Mollusca; Bivalvia; Myida; Dreissenidae. The record is from RefSeq and is a predicted model, not a curated record. The transcript is spliced from 5 exons.